This is a long non-coding RNA of Cavia porcellus (domestic guinea pig), 4451 nucleotides long. RefSeq lists it as uncharacterized. Lineage: Eukaryota; Metazoa; Chordata; Mammalia; Rodentia; Caviidae. The record is from RefSeq and is a predicted model, not a curated record. The transcript has 3 exons.
CUCCUUUCUAUAGAGAGCAUUUUGAAAAUCACACAUAGACAAGCGGCUUCUGAUACUGCAAUCUGGAUCCGCUUUCCUUCUGUUCUCCAUGCCGUGUCUUCCCUUCAACCGUGCAGAGUGUUUGUAUUUAGACCUCUACCGGCGUCUGACUGAACUUGACGAAAAUGGCACCAAGCGUCCUCUUCCAGAACCAUCAACAUUUCCCCAAGUUUGUGCCUCCAUCCGUGCGUCUGUGGCACCUCCAACACGCGCGCUCUGUCUGUGGCUUUAUUUUGGAAUUCCAGAUCCAAAUUCUAAGAUGCAACACUGAGUCCUGCGGGUCAUACUAUCAGGGUGAAGGAAUUGCAGACCUGCACUGAGAACAGCCAGUGAGGACCAGGUGGGUCUGGAAUUUAUCAGAAACCAGCAGAAAUUAGGUUAUGGGCAUGAGGGCCAGAAAGGCACAGGAAAUACAAGUUUGGUUAUCGUGACUUUGCAAAGUCAUAACUUCUCUGGGAAUAGCCCAACAGGAGUGCUGCGGGGGAUCCAGGAGUUGUCAGAAAUAGGUGAAGAAAGUUCUAAGGUCUUGGGGUGCCUGGGGAAGUGAGGGCUAUGUUCAGGUCUGGAUGGCCAUGGCUAUGCGGAAAUACUGGCACAAGGAUGCUCUGAGUUGCCAAGAGAAACAAGAAAUAGAAAUUUUGGGGGUAAAAAUGGAAAUGUAGAAACUAUUUUUAAAAAUACUGAGAGGCCCUAGCAGGCUGUUUUGUGGGUGAGGUCCUGCUUGUGUGUUGCUGUGAUGAGAUCUCUGGGUCUAAUCAUGAGAUGCGACGACAGGCGAUGAGAACCCAGGACAGACAAAGGUUCGGGGAGAUGUGACACGUAUGGGGUCACCUGAGCAAGAACAGAGCAAAAGGACUGUCACAGAGGAGAGGAUGGGGCAUUGCCCUGAGCCCUACAAAGUCAAUCAAGAGAGCAUUUUAGGACCAUGAGCUUCUAUUUCCGUCAUAAUCAGGAAAAUAAUAGCAAUGAUCACUGUAUUCCCCACAAAAGAAAAAUUUGUUUCAUGGGGAGAAAUGGUCAUGAAAUUCUAUAGCAAAAUAGAAAAUAAAAGAAAAGGAGCACCAAAAAGCUAUUUCUAAUAUUGCAGUACACCAGGGGGACCAAGGCACCGCACACAUGGGGCAGUGAGUUCAUCGGGGGUCAGCCAGCAUGGGCCUCAGCAAGGGAGGCGGAGGUGAGGGCAGGUGUGGUGGGGAGAAGGACAGAGGGUGACGAGGGACAGAGGAAACCUAGGCGCAGAGGCCAGCAGACAGAAAGACAGACAGGCCUCCGAGGCAGGAGCCAGCCUUGGCAGUGGAUCCCUCUGAGCUUCAUUUCUGAUUCAUUUAAUCUCCCCAAAAGUUACGAGAGAAAGUUACAAUGUCUGAGUCCACUUUAAAGCCAAGACACAGAGCAUGGACCUGCCUGCACUUCCAGGUGUUCACUGUUUAGAUCUGAAAAUGUUUGCACAGAGAAAAGUCAAGAGGGGACAGGGUCGUGUGGACAGGCAGCCACUCCGAGGUCCUGCGGUUGGAGAAAGAUCCUUCCAGCAUCCCGGAAAAACCGUAAGUGGCCGUGGGGUAGGGUGGCAGAAGAGGCAGCGUGUGUUCUUCAGAAACUUCAAGAGAGAAAGCGAAAGAAAUGAAUGACGCGGAAUAUUUGUGAUCAGGGCUUGGGGAGGUGGAAGAGAGACACUCGGUCGUCUCUUAGCUUUUUGUUUUUAAAUAAAUCACACUGAUGCGGGGUGGGGGUGGGCUGUUACUCCUGGGGAUGUGAUGCAGAUUCCUGGUUGUGGGAUAAUUCAAAUUAAUCACGAGAUAGGCCUUGGAUACUGAGAGGAGAUUAAUCAUCCAGAAAUAAACAGAGGAUGGAUUAUUUCAUAUCUUUGGGCUAUGCUCAAGUAUGCAUCCGACCCCGCCAGAGUAUCGGAGCCAUACGGAAUCUUCCUGGAGCACCUGGAGCCCGCCCAAAAGGCGCGUCCUGAAAUCACAGUAUCCACUCCGAGCCUCAGAAAUGAUGCUCAGAACUUGUCUGAUGCCCGCUCUGCCCUUUGUUUGGAAUGUAACACGUGCCUCCCUCCAGCUGGGAUCGUGAAAACCUGGUCCUCCCCCUCGGGGUGGCUUAUUUUUAAAAGUCGUGGAAUGUGGAAUAUGAAUACAACCUUUUCAUUUAAAAAAGGAAAUCCCUCCAUGUGCAGAAUUUACAUUAUUCAGAACAUGACAGAAAGCACAGAGGAAAAUAAUUCUGCCUGACUCUCCUCCUAGAGACGGGGCAUUUUCAAACUCAGGCGCAUGCAACCUCUGCGUACACCGAAGCGCCUCUGUCCUUUUCUUUCUGUUGGUUUAUUCUCCAAAUGAGUGGAGAAUCAAGUUGGGCUACAUUUUAAAAAUCAGAUUCCCAGGCUCCACUGCCAGAAUAUUUCUAAUUUAGUGAAUCUCAGUUGAGGCCUGGAAACCUACAUUUCAAGCAAGCUCCCUAAGUGGACCUUCGAUACAGUUCUAAAAAGUGUUCCCCAAGUUCCGGUGAAGAAGAAAUCUUAUCCUGAACCGCGCAGGCAGGAGGUAAAGAGCCUGGUUUUGAUAUCAGCAUUUGCUGAAACUGCUGUUUCCCUAAGUGAAGGAGUCACAGUCAGAAGGGAACUGCAGAUUCUAAAAGAGACGCUUUGCUUAUUAAAUUAAAAGAAUUCAGCCAUUAUUGCACAGGGCUCCUGACAGUGCUCAGUGACCACGCACACACAUGGACGUGCCUGGUUAUGACAACUGCUCACCCGGGUUUCCAGGUUGCUCAUAGUUCAGAACCCUGGAUCACCAUCCCAGGGGCUGUCACACCGCGUGUCAUGACUUUGGUUUGGAAAAUAGAGUCAGGGAAGGAUGCUCCAGGAGGAACUGAACUGGAGGUGCAGACUGAGUCUGCAGGGAAGGCAGGGACGCAGGCGACUGGACCCGCGUGCUGCGAUAGGCGCUUUGCUGGUGAAUCUCCGCCAUGGUCCCUCGAGCUCCACUUUGCAGGAACCCUUCUCCUGGAAAAACUACUCUACUGGGAGCCAUGGAAGUCAUCUUCUUCCCAAACACGCCCGGAAAUGUUAACAGGACCAGGCAACUGUAAUUGCUCUGACGCUUUGCAUAUUUAUGUUGGAGAACUUCAUCUGAACUGUUACUUUAAAAAAGAAAGAUCAGUUCAUCUUUGAAAAGGGGGUGAUUAAUCGCUGCCAGUCGGGCAUUCCUUCAUUCCUGGCUUCCUCUUAGUCUCCGUAAUAAGUUCUUCACGAACACCAGUUUGCUAUUAAAGAAUGGUAUUCAUCAUAAGCCAAGCAGAGAGGAGGCACAAUACCCUAUUUCAAUCCACAGUGUCCUUUUUGUUCAACUUGGUCUCGAUCUCUGUGUCAUUAACAUUUGAGGAAAAACACACAAAGAUGUAGGUAAAUAUUAAUCAGGAAUGCACAGUCUCUUCCCCUACUCAAUUACCCAUUACUGGGCUCUCCAGGUGAUAAUGUCCUGUGAAAGGGUCUAUUUGCUUAAAACUCAAGUGAGAAGCAGCUUAAGCAGUUUUAAAACAGUAGGGAAAGGCUCCCCGCUCCUCUGUCAGCAUCCUUCCGGGUCAGCUGGUGUUGAGAGUGUGUGGGUGUGUUUGGCUCCUUCGCCUCCAGCCUGGCUGCCUUUUCAUUCCAUUAGAAGUUUUGCCAACAUUUUCAGAUGACCUGAGACACUCAGAGCACACAUAACAAUGGUCAACGCACCCAGCAGGCUGUGGAUCAGGCACCUCUGUACCGAGCCAUCGCUUUGAACUUGAAGUUCAUUUUUUCUACUUUAGAUCUCCUCAGACCAUGGAAAUUGCCAUCAACCUUUCCACAAUGGUAAGAGCAGGUCUAAGUCAUGAUCUCUCUCAUUAUCAGUGAAGUCAUUCAAAGAGCAUCAGAUCAGCUGGGCUCUGAUGUAAAUAAACACAUUUUUGGGUGAAGUCUAUUUCUCUGCUCCUAAAACUGGUGUAAAUUCAGAGGCUCAUAAUGACAUUUUGUCCCAAGACUGUCAGCUCUUUAUGUUAACCAUGAUAUUAAAAAUCCAGAUGACAAGAGCUGGAUUCAUCAUGGAAGUCAAGAUCAGAGCCCCAAAAGGCCAUCUCCUGAGAGCUGAUAGCUGUAUGUAAAUGGCAAAUGCACAGAGGCUAUGUGGGCUGAAGGGGAGGGGUCUUCACCAUGCAUUGCCAGGAAGUCAGGUCAAACUGCUUCUGAGUCUCAAAGUAUAGGCAUCAGAGAGAGGAAGUGAGGCGGUUUCUAAGUCAUUAGGUGUGCUGGUGAUUUAAAGGAGUCUACAGUUACAUCCCUUUUCCUACGAAUUGCAUGACAUGUUUUUCCCCCGCAUAAACAAUUUUUUUUUUGGUCUCUGUAUGAUAUUAUGUCUUCCCUCAAUAAAAGCAAUCGGUGUGAUAUGUGUUAA